This 252-nucleotide ribosomal RNA is filed under the name uncultured bacterium. Its description in RNAcentral is "partial 16S ribosomal RNA". It matches the Rfam family "Bacterial small subunit ribosomal RNA", at positions 525 to 776 of the family's 1533-position model. The record is from RNAcentral.
ACGUAGGGUGCAAGCGUUGUCCGGAAUUAUUGGGCGUAAAGAGCUCGUAGGCGGUUUGUCGCGUCUGCUGUGAAAUCCCGAGGCUCAACCUCGGGUCUGCAGUGGGUACGGGCAGACUAGAGUGUGGUAGGGGAGAUUGGAACUCCUGGUGUAGCGGUGGAAUGCGCAGAUAUCAGGAAGAACACCAAUGGCGAAGGCAGAUCUCUGGGCCAUUACUGACGCUGAGGAGCGAAAGCGUGGGGAGCGAACAGG